GUGCCCUUAGUUGUUCUGGGACGCACGCGCCCUACACUGAGGAAGUCAACAAGUUAAUUUCCUUCAUCGGGAGAUGUGGGGAAUCUUUUGCAACUUCAUCUUGCUGGGGACAGAGCAUUGGAAUUAUUGCUAUUGAACGAGCAAUCCCUAGAAAGCACAAUUCAUUAGCUUGUGCUGAUUACGUCCCUGCCCUUUGGACACACCGCCCGUCGCUACUACCGAUUGAAUGGCUUAGUGAGGGCUUCGGAUUGAGAUUUAGAGAUUGGCGACACUCCCCGGAGUUUGAAAACUUGGUCAAACAUCUUUAUAAGCAUAAAAAAAAAUUAUAUUCUUUUAUAAUUUAAAUAAAAUAACAACUUUAAACAACGGAACUCUUGGCUUUCGCAUCGAAGAAGAACGCCGCGAAUUGCGAUGAGUAAUGUGAGUUGCAGAAUUCCGUGAAUCAUCGAAGCUUUGAACGCAUAUUGCAGUCUCCGGUAAACCGGGGAGUAUGCGUGUUUGAGGGUCAGUGAAUAAUAACCAUCAUAAUCCUUUGAUUGUCGAAUUGGGCAUUUAUUUCACUAAUGAUUUAUGGCAUCAAAUUUAUGUUACCGAUUGUUU
RNAcentral lists this ribosomal RNA (600 nucleotides) under Septoglomus constrictum. RNAcentral describes it as "bacterial SSU rRNA". The stretch from base 1 to 358 matches the Rfam family "Eukaryotic small subunit ribosomal RNA", at positions 1467 to 1831 of the family's 1831-position model. Lineage: Eukaryota; Fungi; Glomeromycota; Glomeromycetes; Glomerales; Glomeraceae. The record is from RNAcentral.